UGAAGGGCAGAGGGAGAGAGAGAAUUCCAAGCAGACUCCCAACUGAGUGAAGAGCCUGACAUGGGGCUUGAUCCCACGACCCUCAGAUCAUGACCAGGGCCAAAGUCAAAAGUCGGACACUUAACUGAGCGAGUACUCCAUCUGCUUUUAAACACAUCUUAUGAAGCCUUAAUUUUAAGUGUUAUACCUUUUAGUCCUAAAAUAACAAUAUCUUUUUUAAGCUUUCAUACAUCUCAGAUAUAAUCCUCCAGACUAAGAGGUUGGAGAAAAGGGCCAUUCAGAAAUAUUGACUAAUCAGAAAGGUUCCUUUGUCCCAUUUAGUGACCAUCUCUGUAGCACUUUUUGCCAUGGUGGUAUGCCUGAUUUCAGGAGUGUUUGCCACAAUAUCUGUUAAGUUUUCACUUUGACCAUAUUUUCAUUUAAGAAAGGCCUCCCCUAAAAAUAGGAACAGUUAUUGGCAUCCUAGUCUACCCACCUUUCUGGAGGCUUCUGCCAUUCCAACCAAGUACCAACUGUGUAAGCACUCUCACACUGAAGCACUGAAUAAUGCAUGUAGAGGAAUGAUAGCAAUUUAAUAGAAUAUGAUUUUCAUCUAUUUUCCAGACAUGGUUUCUUUGGCCACAGAAGAGAAUAGUAAUAAUUUUUUAUUGGAUUGGCAAUUUUAUAGAUUAACGUUGUAUGCUGUAUUUCUACCUCUCACCAUCAGAUUAGCACCCAUACACGCAGGGUUAAAAAAAAAAAAGUAUAGUCAGAAGUUGAAACCAAUGACUUGUUUGAGUAGAGUCAUGACUGAUGAAAUGAUCAUUGGAUUAUGUGUUGGGCUGGUUACACCCCCCCUGUUCCUCUAUCUUAACAGCAACAACAAAAAGCCCAAAACAUUCCGUAAGAGACUAGUUUGACUUAUAUUGCAAUUCUGAUGCUAAUCACCCAGAGUGUGGGGCACAGCCCUCAACAAGACUCCUCUCAUGUCCAUUGCCAGUUGCAAGUUUAGGGGUCCCUCCUAAGUUACUUGCACUUCCAACCAACUGGCUACAAAUUCAGAGGUGCUCCUAGGACCUCCUUCAGUUUCAGUAAUUCACUAGAAUGACUCACAAAACUCAGGAAAGUGCUAUACUUAUUAGUACAGUUUUAUUCUAAAGGACACAAAUCAAGACCAGUCAGUGAAGAAACACAUAGCGUGAGGUUCCAACACAGAGAUUCUGUGCCCUCUCCCUGUGGAAUUAGGUUGCAUCACCCCCACAGCACAUGGAUAUGCUCAGCAACCAGGAUGCUCACCAGAGCUUCAGUGUUCAGUUUUUACUGGAAUUUCAUUACAUAGGUGUGAUUGAUUGAAUCACGUGAAUGAACUCAAUGUCUAUUCCCCCUUCCCUAUCUCCCAGAGAUAGGGAGGUUGGGCUGAUAUCAUGUGGCUCAACCAGCCCCCAACCAGGUCAUCUCCUUAGCAUAAACUCAGGUAUGGUCCGAUGGCCCUUCAUGAAUAAGACACUCUUACCACUCAGGAAUUUCCAAGGGUUUAAAAGCUUUAUCUCAGGAACCCAGAACAAGGAUGAAACAAAUUCUCUAUUAUAUGACAUUUAAGAAAUAACACUAUAUAUCAAAUAUUAUAGGAUAUUGUCAAUACUAUAUUCAUAGCCUUAAAUGCUUUUCUUUUUUAUAAAAGAAAGUAAAUGAAGUAAAAGAUUCAUUUAAAGAAGUGAGAAAAAAGAAUAAGGUAAUUAAUCUUAGUAGAUAUCUUAAUAGGAUAAAGAAAUGACAAAUUAAGAGGACACAAUGAAUUAGGAGAGAAAUUUAUUAGAGUAAAAUAUCAAAUGAGUCUCUGAAAAACAGCAACAAUAUAGAACAAACUUCCAGUAGCUUUAAUCAAGAAGAAAGAAUACCCAUCUGAACUAAAAUAUAAAUAAAAAUGUGGGGCAUAAAAACAGAUACAGGAAAUUUUUAAAUUGUUAACACAUGCUCUGUAGAGCUCAACUGAGAACUACAGAUGAAAUGUGUGGAUUUUUUUUUCACUGAAGUAUAGUUGACAUACACUAUUAACAUCAGUUUCAGGUACAUAACAUAGUGAUUCGACAAUUACAUACAUUACAAAAUGCUCACCAAGGUUAAGUACAGUUACCAUCUGUCAUGAUACAAAAUUAUUACAGUACUAUGGACUAUAGUCCCCAAGCUGGACUUUUCAUCCCUGUGACUUAUUUUAUAAAUGGAAGUGUUCAGUUCUUAAUCCCCUUCACCUCUUUCAUUCAUCCUCCCAUCCCCCUCUGCGCUGGCAACCACCCGUUUAUUCCCUAUUUUUAUGAGUCUGAUUCUAUCUUUUGCUUGUUUAUUCAUUUGUUUUGUUUUUUAGAUUCCACAGAUAAGUGAGAUCAUAUGGUGUUUGUCUUUAUCUGACUUACUUCAUUUUAGCAUAAUACCCUCUAGUUCCAUGCAUGUUGUUGUGAAUGACAAGAUGUCAUUCUUUUUUAUGACUAAGUAAUAUUCCUGUGUUUUGGGGGUGGGUGUGUGUACACACCACAUCUUUAUUCAUUUCUCUGUCAGUGGACACUUGGGUUGCUUCCAUAUCUCGGCUAUUGUAAAUAAUGCUGCAAUAAACAUAGGGGUGCAUGUAUCUUUUUAAAUUAGUGUUUUCAUUUUCUUUAGGUAAAUAUCCAGAAGUGGAAUUACUGGAUUAUAUGAUAUUUCCAUUUUUAACUUUUGAGGAACUCCCAUACUGUUUUCCAUAGUGGCUGCACCAAUUUACAUUCCUUCCAACAGUGCAGAAGUGUUCCUUUUUCUCCACAUCCUCCCCAAUACCUGUCUUCUUGAUUCCAGCCAUUCUGACUGGUUUGAGGUGAUGUAUCAUUGUGGUUUUGAUCUGCAUUUCCCUGAUGAUUAGGGAUGUUGAGCAUCUUUUCAUGUGUCUGUCGGCCAUCUGUUUGUCUUCUUUGGAAAAAUGUCUCAUUAGGUCCUCUGCCCAUUUUUAAUUGAAUUAUUUAUUUUUUGGUGUUGAGUUAUUUGUAUAUUUUGGAUAUUAACCCCUUAUUGGAUAUAUGAUUUGCAAAUAUCUUCUCCCAUUCAGUAGGCUGCCUUUUUGUUGAAAUGUAUGAUUUCUGUAGAAAACAUUAAAUUAUCAAAAUUGCUAUAAGAAAAUCUUUAAAAAAAAAGAACUUUUUUUUUUUUUUAAGAUUUUAUUUAUUUAUUUGGCAGAGAGAGACACAGCGAGAGAGGGAACACAAGCAGGGGGAGUGGGAGAGAGAGAGAAGCAGGCUUCCUGUGGAGCAGGGAGCCCGAUGCGGGGCUCGAUCCCAGGACCCUGGGAUCAUGACCUGAGCCGAAGGCAGACGCUUAACGACUGAGCCACCCAGGUGCCCCAAAAAGAACUUAUUUUUAAAAAUGAUCUCCACACCCAGCAUGAGGCUCAAACUUAGAACUCUGAGAUCAGGAGUUGCAUGCUCUACCAACUGAGCCAGCCAGGACCCCAAGAAGAUCUUAAUAUCUGAAUAGACUAAUAUGCAUAGAGAAAACUUUAGAAAUUAUUCAUAGUUUCCUCUCAAAAAUAACCCUGGACCUGGAGAGUGUCAUGAGUGAAUUCCUUCAAACCUCCAACAAUUCAUAUGCCAUAUACAUAGAUUUAAUAUUUGCAAAACUAACACAACAGGGACAUCAAAUCCUGUCAAGGUAGAGGAUAACAUAAAGGAAGGAAAUAUAUAAACCAAUUUUACCUAAGAAAAUAGAUGUGGAAACAUCAAGCAAAUUACUGACAAAAUGAAUUUAAUAGGAUAUUAAAAGAAUAAAAUGUAGCUUUCACUUUGAUCAGUAUGAAAAAUUAGAUUCUUUAAAGGUCCCUCCAGUUUAAGACAAAACAGAACCUGCCUGAAACAUAUUGAUUUUUUGAAUUAUAUUGCUAACCUACAAGACAUAACAGAAAUCUUCCAGACGUGUUGGGGGUGGUGAGGGCAGGAGUCUAACGAAGUGAGGGCCCUAAGCAUUCAGAGAAGGCUGGGCUGCCUGGGUGUGGGGAGUGGUUAAGCCAACAUCACUCAUCCAUUCAAGUAUUUAUUCAACAAAUAUUUAAGGGGUAUUGCUGCUUGCUGGGCUCUUUUCUAGUUACGACAGACACAGCAAUCAACAACACGCAUGAAAUCUCGGAGCUCCUGCCCUCAUCUGGAGCUAUAAGAAUCUGUAGUAGAGGAGAUAGGCAAUAGGAUAAAUUAAUAAGUAUAAUAAGGUUUUAGAUGGUGCUAAGUGCUAUGGAGAAAAACCACGCAUGGAAGAGGACAAAGUAUAUUGGGUGGGUUAUAAUUUUAGAUCGGGUAGUUGGGGGAAUGCCUCACUGAGAAGACUGGCAGAUGAGGGAAGAGCAUUCGGGCAGAGAGAAACACACACUAUAAAGUUCAUGUGGUGGGAGUGUUCUUUAUGAACAGUGAGGAGACCAGUAUGGCUGAAGAGGAGUGAGUGAGGAAAAGAAUAACAUACAGUAUGAUGAAUUAAAUGUAGAUAUAUUGAUGACACCAAAAUUUGGAAAAAAAUAAUUAGAAUCAUAGAAUAAAAAUUAGAAUAAUACAAUUAGAAAUUGCAGUAAAGCCCAGGAAGCAGGGCUCCUUUUUGUAGGGAGAGCUCCUCCUUGCUCUUCUCUGAUUUUCUCCUUAGUUUGUGUGUAUUCCUCUGAAGCAUGCUUCCUUCAGGCUGAUCAAAGGGUCUGAGUGGUUGGGUUGGCUGUAAUUGCAUUUAGGAAAGGAAAGGAAAGGGGUGCCUGGGUGGCUUAGUCAGUUGAGCGUCUCAGGUCAUGAACCCGGGGUCCUCGGAUCGAGCCCCUUGUUGGGCUCCCUGCUCAGUGGGGAGUCUGCUUCUCCCUCUGCCUCUCCUCCCUGCGCAUGCACUCUCUCUCUCUCUCUCUUUCUCAUUCUCUCUCAAAUAAAUAAAAAAUAAAAGAAAGGAAAGAAUGGAGCAGACACAUGUGACAUCGCCACCAGCGUAUACAUCCUGUCCUGAAUCAUGAAGUUAGGUUUAGCUUAAAAACCGAGUUGAAAACGUGCCCAGGUAGCUGCUCACACACUUACCAAGGUGUAAACCUCAGUCUGAAGGCUGAUGACUGCAGGUAUUCUUCCUGUCCUCACAGGUGGGUUGGACACACCAUUGGUCUGAGGGGUGUUAGGGGCCUGUUCCUUGUAUAUUUGUUGAAUCCUAUUGUACAUCUGAAACUCAUAUAACACUGUAUAUUAACUAUACUUAGAUUUUAAAAAGAAUGAAAGCCCAAGGACAUUCCUCAAAAGUUACCAGUUGUGGCUUGCUCCUUCCCUGGCAUAAGCCAUAAACAGCAUUAUCCAUCCCCCCCAAUGCAAGGGUGACUUGAACACAUCACAUUACCAGUGACUUUCAGAGUCGCAGGCCUACUGACUCCCUGGCAUUGUAAGGUGGCCCACGAGAAGCCACUGGGGCUUGAGGACUCCAGGAAAAGGCCAUUUUAUCAAGGCAUCAGCAAGUGAGGAAUUCUUCAAAGAAUGGAUCAUCCACAGGCUUGCUUUCUACAUCUGUCCAAUCUCCUCUCCCCAUACUCUCCGACCUUUCUCCCAUCUUAGAAUGCACUGAGGGUCCCCCGAGUCUCGCUCUGGGGAGCAGGGGUGGGGAGGGGGCCUUUGUGGCUGGCCGGCUGAGAGGCUUCUGCUCACUUCAGAGGUGAAAAGGGGGCAUCCCUUGGGGCUGCAUCCCAGCCUGUGUGAGGGAGGGAGGUUUGUAUCUGAGUUAUCCAAGACAAGAUCCUGGAGUGCUGGAACAGGAGGCCCUGAAGUCUGACUCUUUAUCCUCCUCCCAGAGAGUUCUGAACAAAAGAAUAAUUCCUGUUACAUUUAGAUGCCGAUUAUCAGGGAGGGGGUCGUAAGAGAUGAGGGUGGAGGGAACAUUCUUAGUAAUCGGAGUAUUUGGCUGAUUGGUAACUGUUUACAGCUUGUUUCUUUCUAGUGCAUACCCCUUGAAAUCAUUUUCUUUGUAAAUGUUAAAAGCCAUAUGAAAAAAAAAAAAACAACCUUGAUUACUCUUCUUUGUAUUUCAAUCAGCAGCGUGUCAGCCUCUGAAUAAACUAUAAUUCCUUCACUGUGCCUGUUGAGGAGAACAUUUAGACCACAUUUAAAAAAUGUGGUAGGGGUCUCAAGAACAAUUAGCAAUUAAAAUAAUCUAUUUUCUACGCUUCCAUAUAAACACGGCCGCUUGAUUGAGUUCACAGUCUCAGGCACGGCUUUGCUCAGGAGCCCCAUCUUGCCCAGUUCCAAGCUGCUGGAAUCACCGGAGGCAUCUUAAAUGUUGGGAGACAGCGCCCCGUGCUCCCAAAUCUGUUAGCGCGUCAGUCCGUUUAGAACUGAACUUGAUGCCUUUUCCAGAGAAUAUGCUUCUAGGGCUCACCAGGACUCCCCUCAAGCCCUCCCACCCCCGCCCCAGAGCCUGGCUUCGCCCACAGAUGCUAGUCCGGUGGGGUCAGUCCCAGAGUAACAGACUCCCAGCACCAAGCCUUGCUACACAAAGAAGAGAAUGAAAAGUCGCUGGGUCCAACCCCGGUGCAUUUUUACAGAUAAACAACCUGAAUCCCAGCGAGACUAAACUAGCUAGUGAUGGCCGUGGCAUCCAAGGUUCCUGAACCUCAUGCCAGUUGCCCCCCGCCCCGGGGGGUGGUCUUUGUGGGUGGAAAUUGGCUUAGGUGGUUUCUCUCGUGGAAAAAGCAAGGUGUUCGCUUUGCACAACAGUUCAGGUGUGAUCCUGAUUUCAGGCAGAGGAAUAGACUUGAGGACUUCUCAAGGCCAAGGUCAGGCCCUAGAGUCUGAGAGCUGCAGAAAAUGUGGUAGGGCUCUGUAUAAGUGCGUGGCCAUCCUGCAUGGCCUCCUUGCCCGCCCUCUGCAACCUUCCUGGAGCCCGCACACUGAGGCCUGCAGCAGGGCCAGCCCUUGCUGAGGUGGGAGAGGGGCCACCUCCCUGGUCAGGGGGCACCAGCUCUCAUACCCUCAUGGGCAGCUGAUGCUGUGAUUUUGCAGUCCCAGUCCCUCUCGCCUCACCCUUGUCCCUGCAAGUACUCCACGGGUGUAGGACCAGGGGAUGCCAAUGGCAAGGGGCAGGGUGACCUGGGCAGAAGACUGACACUGAGAAGAGUCAGCAAGACAAGGUGCAGCAGAGGAGAAACAUCCCCAACGGGAGCUAAGCCAUCGCACCUGGGCCUGGAGUCUAGGUCAGGAAUGGAAGGGAGGGUCCCCUUGUAGAGCCCCUUGGGUGACCAUUUCCACCUUACCUAAGACAUCCGUCAUCCCUGGAGCCUAGGCUCAGCUGUCAUUCCAGGAUCAGAAUAAUGACUGCAUGGUAAGAACCCUCCCUGGGGCCUCCUCCCUCGGGCAAUCCAGCAGGCAGGGCUGGGAGGAACAGACAGAGGGUCCCCCAUUGCCAACACGCAUUGAGACAUGGUUACCGCGUGACCCUCUACAAAAUAUCUUCAGUGGGCUGGUGAGACCUAGACUAAACUCAGUUCAGCGACACUUCCAGAAUGUCUGAGCUAAGCCUCACAGGGCUUUGCCAUGAACAGCAAGCCCCCAGAGUCCAGGGACCCCCCCCGCCCCCCCGCCAACCACCACCAAUCAGGAUGCAUUUAACAAAAGUGGCUUGGGCUCAUUCUAAAACUAACAGGUUGAUAGUUUAUGACACAGAAUAACCAAUUAAUGAAAAUGAUAGUAAUAAAGCAAUAAAUAGUAAAAAAAAAAAAAAUUAACCUUUUAUAAGCCUUUAAGCAUUUUUUCACUUCUUUGAUUUUUUUUUUUUUGAAAUGUAGGAGUGCUUGCAUGAGAAUUGCAAUAUUUAUGAGUCCUAGGACUAUUUUAUGAAUUUAUGUAUUUUUUUUUCUUUAGGAAAUUGUUUCCAAAGUGGGGCAUUUUUUCCUAAUUCAUUUCAAUCAGUAUGCUUACUCUUGCUUGCUUAACAAUGCUUUCUGUGAAUUUAAAAUCUCCUCUUCGGUUCUAAGUAAAUCUCUGAAAGGCUGUUGAUCAAAACUAAUCUUUCAUAUCACUAGUCUUUGUAUUGUUAAUGUGUGUGCGCUCCAGGAUUACUUGUGUGUAAAUGCAUCCUCAAGUAAUACUGUCCACUCCCUCAGUUAUUUUGCUUUUUAAACUGAUAGGAGUUAGUUUUCAGUGAGGAAUUCCUGCUUCACUGUUCCAAGUAAGAGCUAAUUGUGCGUUCUGCCUGAGUGCCGGCGAGAUGGAAGGUCAUGGCCAUGAGAGAGCACAUCGGGGGCUAAGAAGAUGCUGCCAGUGUAACUCAUGUUCCCGUACCUGCCUGCACUCCAGGGUGUGUGUUUAUAGAGCAGAGGACGUCCUCCGUUCUGCUUCUGGCCCCUGGGUGGGGGGGCCUUCCACCAUCCGAGGAGAAACAUCCCCAUGAACAUCUCUAUAAGGUUCUAGAGAAGCAGCCGGAGCUCUUCAGGAGAUUCUUGAGGAGAAUGGUGCAUGAUGGGGGGCAGAGGGCAGGAGACAGGUUAGCACAGUGGUGGGGGCAGCCAUUUCCCCAGCCUCUUCAGACAUCCUAGCCGUGUCCUGCUACCUCCAGGGACCGUGGCCGGGCUGUGGUCAGCACUGAUGUCCUCACAGCCAGCACCCACCAGCAGCAGGGAUGCGUCAUGGCCGCCAGCAGGAGCUACCUGCGGGCCAGAGAGAGGGGCCAGCAACCAGCUGUGGUGACUGCAGCUAAUAGCCUGGUUGGUGUUGCCUUCAAGGCCCCCUUUGGAGACUUUAAAGUAUGUUUAGGGAACCUCAAACUAUGGUAAUCUGGGCAUUAAAAAUGAAUGGGGGGGCACCUGGGUGGGUCAGUCGGUUAAGCAUCUGACUCUUGGUUUCGGCUCAGGUCAUGAUGCCAGGGUUGUGAGAUUGAGCCCUGCUUUCAGGCUCCAUGCUGGGUGUGGAGCCCGCUUAAGGUUCUCUCUCUCCCUCUCCCUCUGCCCCCCACCACCGCUCUCUCUCCCUCUAAAAAAAAAAAAAAUGGAUGGUACUUCAUAUUGUAGCCACAGGCUAGUGAAGCCUGGAUGUACCCCGUACACCUAUGAUGAUUAUAAUGCUAAAUUAAAGAGAAGAUUAGCCAGACAAAACAUUUCUUCCCUCUUUAUCCUAAUUUUGAUAGUAAAUACUGACAUUAAAAAUUAAUUCAAUUAGGGGUUCCUGGGUGGCUCAGUCGGUUGAGUGGUUGCCUUCAACUCAGGCCAUGACCCCAGGGUCCUGGGAUCAAGCCCCGAGUCAGGCUCCCUGCUCAGCAGGGGUCUGCCUCUCCUCUCCUUCUGUGCUCACUCUCUCUCUCAAGUAAAUAAAUAAAAUCUUAAAAAAAGUUAAUUCAGUUAAAACUUCACUGAGAUUUUCUCACCUAUGAAAUCGGCAAAAGUCCAAAAUUUGUGGACAUUCUCUGUUGGUGAGACUAUGGAGAAACAGGUCUCAUGAUACAGAAUGGCACGACCAAUUUAAGGGCAAUUUGACAAUAUCUACCCAAAAACCUACACCCACCCUUUAACCUGGCAAUGUCACUCCUAGGAAUUGAUCCCAAAGAUACAUUGGCAAGACUGCACAAGGGUAUUCACUGCAGCACUGUUAGUGAGACCAAGACUGGAAAUGAUCCAAAUGUUCUUCAGUAGGCUGAUGGUUGAAUUAACUAUGCUUGGGCACACAGUGGAGUAUUAUCCAAUUAUAAAAAGAAAUGAAGAGUACCUCUAUAUGCUAUUCUGUAGUGAUCUUCAGGAUAUAUUGUUAAGUGAAAAAAAGCACAGUGGAGAAAAAUGUGGGUAGUAUCCUACUAUUCAUCUAAAGAAGAGGGAGACUUCUCCAAAUAAACCUUCCUUUGUAGAUUUGCAUUGGAAACCAUGAUAAUAUUUUACAUAAUUUUAAAACAAAUUAAAUUUAAAAAAGCAAUCCCCAGGGGCGCCUAGGUGGCUCAGUCAGUUAAGUGUCUGACCCUUGAUUUCGGCUCAGGUCAUGAUCUCAGGAUCAUGAGAUCGAACUCCGUGUGGGGCUUUGUGCUGGGUGUGGAGCCUGCUUCAGAUUCGCUCUCUCUCCCUCUACCUCUGCCCCCCCGCGUCCCCCCACCUCCCCACUUACGCACAAGCGUGCAUUUUUUUCCCUCUCUCUCUCUUAAAAAAAUAAAAUAAAAAAUAAAAAAGCAAUCCCCAAAUAAUCAAGACCAAAAUGAAACAAUGCACCUAACUGUCCAUCAUGUUAGUGUCAUAACUACACAGGCACAGUUUUAAGUGAUUCUAUAACAUGAUAAUUUGACUGUAUAUCCAUAAUGGGCUACUGCCUAGGCCAAGAAAAAAAAAACUUCAAAAGAAAAAAAAUUAAACCAUUUUCAGUAUCAUAUUUUUGGCAUAAUUACGUUGGUGUCAUUGGGAACUGGGAUUUUCAGGAUGGAAGAAAAGAGAAACCCGUAUAAGAUGGAUAAGAUUGAGUAAAGACCCUAUAGUUUUCAAUUUGAGUGAGAAAUACCAGUAUGCAAUCAUAUUCAACUCAUUUUUUUUAAUCUUAAAAAGUUAAUUUCCUAACUCUAUCCAUGAAAAGGCCAAAAACAAGGAGCAUUCCAGUGGCAGUAAGCAGUUUGUGGUCUCUAAAUAUUUCCCACUGAAGGAAACCAGGCUCCUUAAAGAAACAAUGACUCCAGAGAUGGGACAGGAAAAGUAUAAGAUGAACCUGGAGCAUUUUGUCAUAACCAGAUGGCAAGGAGGUUAUCAAACACGUAACCAGGAUCAUGUCAAAAGCACUCAAGGUCCAACUUGAGAGGGCCCACGCGGUUUGAAGAUGGACAAUCUGAGGAUUAGUACGAUUAGUGUCCACAAGAGAGUAAAACACUUCAAGUGUGUGUAAAUCUUGAAUUCCUAAUGAUAAAAAAUAAAACAUCCAUUGGCCGGGACGUCUAGGUGGCUCAGUCCUUAAGAGUCUGCCUUCAGCUCAGGUCAUGAUCUCAGGGUCCUGGGACUGAGCCUUGCAUUGGCUCCCUGCUCCAUGGGGAGCCUGCUUCUCCCUCUGCCUGCCGCUUUCCCUGCUUGUGCUCUCUCUGUGUCAAAUAAAUAAAUAAAAUCUUAAAAAAAAAACCACACAAAACAUCCACUGGUCAACUUUUGAGGGGUAUUAGGUAACCAAGUAAUUAUUUUGAAAAGUGCCUGCUAUAUAACCAAAAUGUUUGUGUCCUCCCAAAAUUCAUGUGUUGAAACCUAGUGCCCAAUGUGAUGGUAUUUGGGGGUGGGGCCUUGGACAGUACUUAUGUCGUGAGGGUGGAGUAAUUGUGUCCUGAAUGGGACUGGUGCCCUUCUAAGAGACUCCAGGGAGCUCCUGUCCUGCUUCUGCAAGAUGGCCGUCUGCCAUCCAGGAAUGGCCUUCCCAGACAUCGAAUCUGCCAGCAUCUUGAUCUUGGAAUUCCCAGUCUCCAGCACUGUGAGAAAUAAAUUUCUCUUGUUUAUAAACCACCCAGUUUACUGUAUUCUGUUGUAGCAGUCCACAUGGAUUACAAGACUGGCAAAUAAAAGGAAGGUCUCAAGCACCAAUCCUGCCUUUCCUAUAGGGACUGUAUUCGGGGACAGUCAAAUCCUUGAUUUGGGGGAGGUUUCUCUUUAAAGAAGUAAUCUAGAUGAUACAUAGAUAUAUCGUGCUGCACUACCAUUUUGCAGUCCCUAAUAAAAAGAUGGAUCCAGGUCACCAUCAUCAAAAAAAGAGAAACAAGCAGACAUUUGCCGUAAUCUUACCCCCAAAUUCCACACUGAAUCUGUGAUGUUCUGACAGCUGACCUAGUAGUGUCCCUGGUCCAGCCUCCAGAGCAGAUGAGCUCCAGGGCAGUGUGUCUGAGGUUAAGAAGGGAGAAAAAAAUCAUUUCCUCCCUCGUUCAGAUGGUUACUGAGAAUGCACCACCUGUCGGGCACUCUGCUGAAUAUUUGAUAUAUAGCACCUCAUUUAAUCUCUACCAGAACCCUAUGAGAUACGUAUUGAUAGUCCCAUUUUACAGGUGAGGAGUUAAAGUGGCCAAGUUGAGAUUCAAACCCAGGUCUUUCUGACUCCAAAAUCUGUGUUUCUGGCACAACUUUAUAUGUAACGUGGACACUCUGCCUGCAUCAAAUUAUGUGUCACGGAUCUGACAUCCCCGGUCCGUCUUCCAGUGAAGAUCCUCGGGAAAGCUACUGCCCCGGGAGCAUGGCCGAACUAGCCCUGCCUGAUCCGCCCCUGGCCCAGUGAUUAGCUGGGCUGGCCAGUCACUCUGAGGUCACGUGGACGCAGGAUUUCUGGGCCACUUGAAAGAUAAAACCCGAACACGGGAAGCAGCAGAGGAGCUUGGGACAUGAAAACCAGUCAGCUCCUAAAAAUCUGCGGUGGGCCUGGGGCGGGGGGGGGGGGGGAGACGGCUGAGAGAACACAGCUGCUGCCCCCUCCACGCCGAUGUAGAGCCCACAUUGGGUGUCCCCCCUGUGGUCCACAGCAGGAAGGGCCCAUCCGCCCACUCCCUUGCUGCCCUGGGAGCUUCUGGGCACUUCCCAGGAAAAAGAAUGUGUCUGUCGACUGCUUUAUUCCAAAACUCCACAAAGCCUUUUAUCGAUAUGUCAAAUGCUGGAAAAUAAAGAGAUAAACCAAGCCUGUGAACUUCUUUCUGCUCCAGACACAUUGGCUUUGUUUGGAUCCAUAACCAUGCUGUGCUCCUUCUCACCUGGAGCAUGCGGGGCGGAGGGGGGGGGGCGCCUCUGCAUGGAACCCCCUUCCUUCCCUCUUAGUGGCCUAACUCCUAGGGCUCAGCUUACUGUCACUUGCUUGGGAAAAACGUGUGAGCUCCUGGACCAGCUCCCACCCUCCCAUCACACACCCUGGACUCUCUCAAAUGACUUAAUUACCCCUGCAAUUCAAAAAUGAUGUAAUUACUUAUUUACAUUCUUCCUCUCUUGAUGAUGAGCUGCAAGCAUCUGGAUCUGGUUUCCCAGCUUCUACUUAACCACAGUCCCUCCAGCAUCUCCCAUGGAGGAAUUGAAGGCAGGCUUAAAUCGCAAGUCUCAGGUGUGGCUUAAGCCAGAGUCUGACAUCACCUUGCCUUGGAGCAGCAGGCCCUGGACACAUCACCAAAGGACCUACAGAGUACCUGGGUCACGGGAGGUACUGCCCGAACACUCCACCGGAUGACUGAUGUUGGAGACCUGCCUGGUCGUCCGGGUCAUGGGGCGCACAAAGAGUUUCCGAGGUUGUAGCCAAUAUUUUACUAUUACAACCAUUGCUGCAAGGAAAUCCCCAUUGCAAGUUCCUACGUGCCCUCCUUCAAGGGUUUCUUAAGAUGUGUAUGCCGAGCUAGAAUGGCUGGUUGAAGGGUAUCAGUAUGUCAAGAUGCCAGGGACUUCCACAUUUCUCAUCAGUGCUUGGUACUGUCAGGCUGCUUACAUGGUUGCCAAUCUAAUGGGCUAGAAACCGCCUUUCCCUCUGUUUCAUUACCCUUCUUCCCAUGAUCGCCUGUGAAUCUAAGCCACACGCUGUUUUGUAACUGCUUUGUGCACCUAAUGCAUCUUGAACACCUUCUCAACAUACAUAAAUACUCUCGUGCAUAAUUUUAAAGCAUAGUGUUUUGUAUGCCAGUGCCACUGUUUAUGUAGCAAAGGGCCCACCAUCGGGCAUUUACACGUACGUUCCCGAGAGUUUGCCGUUACAAUGGCACCCAGGAGCUCUUGCAGCAGAGUACCGAAGAGGGCAGACUUCUGCGUCAGCUAAAACCCGGCGUUGCCUCCAGGACCCACCACUUGCCAAUCCUGCAGCCCUGGGCAGGCCCCUUGGAGGGAACCAGACCACCAGUGCCCCGCUGGGGUCUCACGGGGCAGUAGGGCCCCUGACGCCAGCUACGGUCUGAAUCAUGAGUCUACCAUUUACCAGCUGUGCACCCUGAGGAAAGUUCUCCAACUCUCUGGACCUGUUUCCUGUGUGUAAAAUUGGACAUGAUAAGAACAGGACCCAGCUCAGAGGGUCGUUGGAAGGAGGAGGCGACAUAGUGGAUGAUGGUUUCAGCCCAGCCUGGCGUACAAGGGUAUCUAGCAUCCUUUAGGUGCCCGCCCUUCAAUCUAAUUGGAAUAAAAUGGAAUUGGCACCGAAAGGGACCAUCAUGGCCACGUCUGAUUUGCCCAGAUGGAGAAAGUGAAGCUCGGAGGAAUUAGCGAUUGGCCCAAGGUUGCACACUGUGUUGCUGUCAGGUCAAUUUGUGGAAACACCAGGAGAGGGCGGCCCCCGGGGGCUUUCUCGGGCGCCUCCUGCCGAGUCACGAGAGGAAAGCCGGAAGGCCAAGAAUCCGUGAAGUCUCAUUCCGUCUACGCGCUCCUUCCAUGGAGUCCCAGGAUGGUUCUCCCAAGGGAUGGCCCCGCAGACACUCUGGGGCUGCAGAUCAGCUCCAGGGCACUGCAAGUGGGUGCUAACCUGCGGUUCCGAGCAUCUCAUCACCAAGCUGGGGAUGCCAGCGCCGGGGAGGCACAAUGCUCUGUGCUCUGCUCACUGCCAGGAAACGGGGGGGCCUGAUCAGUGACUGUGGCCACUAAUAAACCAAAAGCUCUAAUUGUCUGUCAGAGAACCCCCGGGGGGUGGAGGGUGGGCAUGGGCUAAGAUAUGCAAGUCGCUGGGCAGCAUGUAACCCUUCGUGACCCCAAACAUCUUGUCGCUGUUCCCGUGAUUUGUUAUCUCACCUGGAGCAGGCUGGGGCCACCUCACCUCGUGGCUGCUCGGCCUGGGCCAGGCCAGACAGCAGGGGCGACAGGCAGGGGGCCGCAGGGGACACUGCCACAGCCUGGACACACAGAACCGCAGCGGGAGGUCUUUACUCUCCUGCCCCUUUUCUUUCUCUGUUCCCUCCUGGAGUAAGUCUUGGGCUUGCGUCACUGAAGCACAAGACAGGGACAUUUCUAAAAGGCAAUAAAUACCGUUUUCCUCUCAGGGUAAAUCUUGGGUAUCAAGAUUAUCCAAACAUAGGAAUAUAACCAAUGAGAUUUCUGGAGAUUCUUCUCAAUCCUACGUCUACGAUAUCUAAGAAGAUAUUCUAAAACUUUCUAAACCACUAGACAUCUCAAUCCCUGUCAGUGCCUUUCCCCAUAGUCACAAUAAUGACAAGUGCUGGGACUCUUAUUUUGAUUAAGCUGAGAAAGUCUCUCCCUUUCAGGACCCUUCUAGAAGAAAAAAGAACACGUACAUAUAAAAAAUGUGUGUGUAUAUAUAUAUAUAUAAAAUUGAUUUCAUGUAUAGAUUCUAUUAUAUAUAUGUGUGUAUAUAUGUAUGUAUAUUUAUUUAUGUAUUUAUCUAAUUGUUUCAUUAAGAAACUCUCUGGAUUCGAAAGCAACUUCGGAGUGAUUGCUAAAAAUACAUUAAAAAGCCAACAUGUUUUAUGUGCCCACACUAAGUUUGCAAUACUUUCUAAGCUAGUCCAGUUGAGAGUUGCAUCCCAAACCAGAGUUGGGAAGCUUGAAAACAGAGGGCAGGUGGCCAUGGCGCUGGGGCCCAGUCCUGGGGAGGCCAGAGCGGACGGUGACACAGAGGUCGGGGGCAGAGGCUGACCCUGGUGAGGAGGAGGGAAGGAGUCAGGUGACCUUCGGAUGAGAAGCUUGUCUCCAGGGAGCAGGAAGCUAAGGCAGCUAAGUCCAUGGCCUCAAAUUUUCUUCCUGUAGAGACUGAGCCGGGUUCCGGCACCUCUACCCUGUAGCUGGUGAGGGGGAGGAAGGAAGCUUCCAAACACAUGUGACCAGGCUUUGGGAAAGUACUGGGGAGUGCAGGAAAAAAUCCUCUGUUCCCUCUCCCAUGCAGAGAGGUUCUGAUUCUCCCUCCCGUGACUCUGAGCUGGACUCGGUGACAAGUGUGACCUGUGGAUUGUGGCAGAGGCGACGUCACCUAACGCCGGAGGCUUGAUCAGAAGACAUGUGCCUCGGUCUUCUUGAAGACUCGCUCUGGGGGAUGUCAGCCGCCACAGAGGCCAUGCCACCCCCUGAGACUGCCAUGCUGGAGAGGCCCCACUGAGGGUCUCAACAGUCCCCGCGAGCCCAGCCGUGCAGCUGUCCCCCCCGCCCCCGAGGCACCAGCCAAGUGGGUGAAGCCAUCUGGGUCCCUCCAGACCAUGCGGUGGUUGCACCUACCUGACCUUAGUCAACGUCACAUGAAGAGAACUGC
Molecule: long non-coding RNA, 16121 nt
Organism: Mirounga angustirostris (Northern elephant seal)
Lineage: Eukaryota; Metazoa; Chordata; Mammalia; Carnivora; Phocidae
Exons: 3
Source: RefSeq, a predicted model, not a curated record